UGGGGAAUUUUGGACAAUGGGCGAAAGCCUGAUCCAGCCAUGCCGCGUGAGUGAAGAAGGCCUUCGGGUUGUAAAGCUCUUUUAGUCGGAAAGAAAGAGUUGCAAUGAAUAAUUGUGAUUUAUGACGGUACCGACAGAAAAAGCACCGGCUAACUACGUGCCAGCAGCCGCGGUAAUACGUAGGGUGCGAGCGUUAAUCGGAAUUACUGGGCGUAAAGGGUGCGCAGGCGGUCUUGCAAGUCAGAUGUGAAAGCCCCGGGCUUAACCUGGGAAUUGCGUUUGAAACUACAAGACUAGAGUGCAGCAGAGGGGAGUGGAAUUCCAUGUGUAGCAGUGAAAUGCGUAGAGAUGUGGGAGAACACCGAUGGCGAAGGCAGCUCCCUGGGUUGACACUGACGCUCAUGCACGAAAGCGUGGGGAGCAAACA
Molecule: ribosomal RNA, 427 nt
Filed under: uncultured bacterium
Lineage: Bacteria
Also listed under: 1 other name
Description: bacterial SSU rRNA
Rfam family: Bacterial small subunit ribosomal RNA
Source: RNAcentral